Long non-coding RNA from Chinchilla lanigera (long-tailed chinchilla), 599 nucleotides. RefSeq lists it as uncharacterized. The record is from RefSeq and is a predicted model, not a curated record. The transcript is spliced from 2 exons. Lineage: Eukaryota; Metazoa; Chordata; Mammalia; Rodentia; Chinchillidae.
CUCCCGGGCUGUGUCUUACCGCUCAACCACACGGGAAGCUUUUGGUGACUGGGAAGGAAGGUGCCCACCGCCUCCCUGGGCUUUGGCCAGGUGAGCUGCUGUCCCACUUGGAACAAAGCCUUGCCGUUCCCCAGAAGCUCUUGGCUUUGAUCUUUCCCACCCGAGCAAGCUUCUGCACUCAUUUCCCUGUCAUAGAAGUGAGAGAAGAGCGGAACCUUCUGCCUUUGGGAAGCCGCUGAGCCGUGUGUCCUGCAGUCAUGAGGAACUGUCGUGCAGGUCCCCGCACAUGAGGGACUUUCUGUGCUGCUGGCACCGCUGAAAGAAGCGCUUGAGCCUCCUGCUCUUCCUUUGAAGGGCACCGGAAGGAAGGAUUUGCUUCAUUACCGGGUGUGUUUGCUCCACUAGAAACACCCAACAAGAAGCUGCCCACCAAGAUGCCCCCCAAUCCUUUCUCCACACAAGGUUUGGGAGAGAUGUUAUCUCUAAGCCAUUCAUUUGUGGUUUCGGGGGGUGGACCCAACUGUAUGAACUAUAUCCCAACUGCUCCUUCCUCAAUUUGAGAAGCAAGCUCAAUAAACCCUCUCUCCUUUCAAAAUCUC